RNAcentral lists this ribosomal RNA (191 nucleotides) under uncultured bacterium. Its description in RNAcentral is "partial 16S ribosomal RNA". It matches the Rfam family "Bacterial small subunit ribosomal RNA", at positions 1309 to 1500 of the family's 1533-position model. The record is from RNAcentral.
AACCCGCCUGCAUGAAGUCGGAAUUGCUAGUAAUCGCGGAUCAGCGUGCCGCGGUGAAUACGUUCCCGGGCCUUGUACACACCGCCCGUCACACCAUGGGAGCCGGUAAUACCCGAAGUCAGUAGUCCAACCUCGUGAGGACGCUGCCGAAGGUAGGAUUGGCGACUGGGGUGAAGUCGUAACAAGGUAAC